Molecule: ribosomal RNA, 581 nt
Filed under: Caldicoprobacter guelmensis
Lineage: Bacteria; Bacillati; Bacillota; Clostridia; Caldicoprobacterales; Caldicoprobacteraceae
Description: bacterial SSU rRNA
Rfam family: Bacterial small subunit ribosomal RNA
Source: RNAcentral
CCUACGGGAGGCAGCAGUGAGGGAUAUUGCGCAAUGGGGGAAACCCUGACGCAGCGACGCCGCGUGGGUGAGGAAGGCCUUCGGGUCGUAAAGCCCUGUCUAUACGGGAGCAAUAAGGUCUACGCGUAGACUGAUGAGAGUACCGUAUGAAUAAGCAUCGGCUAACUCCGUGCCAGCAGCCGCGGUAAUACGGAGGAUGCGAGCGUUAUCCGGAUUUAUUGGGUUUAAAGGGUGCGUAGGCGGCUUUUCAAGUCGGCUGUGAAAUUCCCCGGCUUAACCGGGGGGGUGCAGUCGAAACUGAUGGGCUUGAGUGCAGGAGAGGGUGGUGGAAUUCCCGGUGUAGCGGUGACAUGCGUAGAUAUCGGGAGGAACACCAGUGGCGAAGGCGGCCUACUGGGCUUUAACUGACGCUGAGGCUCGAAAGUGUGGGGAGCAAACAGGAUUAGAUACCCUGGUAGUCCACACUGUAACCGAUGAUUGCUAGGUGUGGGAGGUUUGACCCCUUCCGUGCCGCAGUUAACGCAAUAAGCAAUCCACCUGGGGAGUACGAUCGCAAGAUUAAAACUCAAAGGAAUUGACGG